RNAcentral lists this long non-coding RNA (1620 nucleotides) under Homo sapiens (human). Its description in RNAcentral is "non-protein coding lnc-MALL-6:2". The record is from RNAcentral. Lineage: Eukaryota; Metazoa; Chordata; Mammalia; Primates; Hominidae.
AUAGUGUUCUUUUUAUAUUAUGCUAUAUUUUUCUUUUAGUUUUUUUUUGCAUCUGUGUUCAUCAGUGAAGUUUUUUUAGCCUGUAUUCUUGUCUUAUACUCUUUUUUUAAGAUGGAACUUCACUCUUGUCGCCCAGGCUGGAGUGCAGUGGUGCGAUCUAGGCUCAUUGCAACCUCCAUCUCUCAGGUUCAGACGAUUCUCCUGUCUUUGUUUUUAUUGUUAUCCAGUUUUGCUAUGCUGUACCUGGGUUUUUAUUAUUUCUAAUUUACCCUGCUUGUGAUAUGUUUGAGUUCUUGACUCUGAAUAGUGUGUCCGUCAGUUCUUUUUAAAAUUUAGGAUAGUUUGACUUAGGAUUUCUCAACUUUAUGAUAGGUUUAUUGGGAUAUGAAAUGCAUUUCAGCUAAUAUUUUCAACUUAUGUGAUGGAUUUAUCAGGAUAUAACCCCAUUGUAAGUUGAGAAGAGUUUCCUUUGUAGUGAUUAAAUUGCAUGCCAGAACAUGGGUAUUCUCUGCAUUUUUAAUGCAGAAUUUAGUUGAUACUAAUUUUACUUUAUGCCACUAUAAAUAGGCAUACCCAGUAAGAGCCUAUCUGCCAUAGAAGUUUGCUUUAGUAUACUGUGUAAGUAUAUAUUAUCUAAUCUUUUCCAAAUUUGGUGAUUUAAAUAUAUUCUUUAUUUUUUAUGAUAAAAGUGUAGGCAGGAGAAUGGCAUGAACCCAGGAGGCAGAGCUUGCAGUGAGCCAAGAUCACACCACUGCACUCCAGCCUAGGCGACAGAGCGAGACUCCAUCUCAAAAAACAAAAAAAAAGAGGUGGGGAGCUAGAGAGAGCUCACUCUAAGACUUUUGGGAAGAUUAGCUGAGAUGAAGCCUUUAGCUUUCUAUUGUACAAACUAGACAGGAAGUUAACCCCUAAGCUUUGUUUUAAGUUUAAAAGAAAAACUAGGAUAUGCUGAAAUUACUUGAUUUGGCCCAUUUUAAAUAGCAAUACACAGGUUUUUUUUUUGUAGGGGCAGUUGGCAGGUGUAGGGAAAUUUUCACUUACACAAGGGCACUACAUAAAGAUGAGAGGUGGUGUCCUUGCUGACCUCAUCUUGCCACUCCCCAGGCCACCUCCAGAUAGUUGUUUUCUGUUACUAAAAAGCAGAACAUUCGACUGCUUGACAUGGAAAGUUAUCUUCUCUUACGCCAUUGGUGACAAGCGACCCUCUUUGGGCAAUAUCUGUUACUUUCCCUCCCUCUAAUAGUCAUGUAAACAUUGAUGUUUAGUAUUCAGUCUACUGCAGUUUAUUGUGCAAGCAAUUAUAAGUUAUUAACUUGGCAUAAUUUGUUGAAUACCUAAGUAUAUAAUAUUGAAACUAAGGACUUGGCACCAAAAUGUUUAUGUACUUUGACUAAUUUAACAGGAAAGUUGUUUACUUAGGAUUGCUGGAAAGUUUUCUGCCAUCAAUUUCAUAGACAGAAAAAAUUUCUCUCCUUGGGAGCAUAUGGAAGGCUGAUAAAUUCAGAUAUAUACUUGGCAUCAAUGUGAUAAUACUGAGAAAGUUAUUCCUUUGCAUCAUGAACACUUUUAAGAUAGUAGUACAUACAGUUUCCUUCCUCUGCUGUCUAAGUAAGUCUGUGA